Biomphalaria pfeifferi is the source of this 1013-nucleotide non-coding RNA. Lineage: Eukaryota; Metazoa; Mollusca; Gastropoda; Planorbidae. The record is from the annotation of a GenBank genome assembly.
GAUUUAAACUGUUUCUUUUUUUUUGUUGUUUGUUUGACUCAUUCAUUGUUGUGUAUUUAUAACACAAAUAUCUUGAAAAAAAAACAACCAACUAAUCUGUCAUGUAAUUGCUGGUUGAUAACUUGGCAGUGUGGACAGAAAGAGAUGCAAGUUGGAUUUAUAGGGCAUGUUGAGUAUUUGGCUCAAACUGUCUAAUGUGUGUUUGAAAGUAAAUGAAAUGUUUGUGUGCAAUACAUGGUGAUGUCUGGUCAGCUGUUUUGGACUUCUAUAUUUUAUACAUACAGUUUGUUUGAGUUGACACGAUAGUUGGUCUGUAUUUCAACCAGUGUAUUGUGAUACUUGCCAGUUUCUUGUCACUCCCACAUUUCAUGACAUUAGCUUUAACUAGUGUUACCUUGGAGGAUUUCUUUUUUUGAGUACCUGUCUUCCCCCCUCCACUUGUUGUAGGUACACUUGGAGUUAGGAAAAGAUGAAAUGCCCUACUUGAUCAAAAUUGUUUCAUGGAUUCUAUUUGGAACUGAAAAUGUUUGUGUGUGUAAGAGGUUGGUCACUGAAAUGAUUUGAAUAAACUGCCUUGUUUUUUUAAUGUGUAGACAAUGACAACAGAACAAAACCAACACAAAUCUUGUCAUAUAGUGUAUCAGUAGUUUCUUAUUGAUCUAGUUCUAGCUCUAUAUAUCUAGUGUGUGUGUAUGGAUGUCUUAAGUCUAUCCUGUAAAGGUUGUUGAAGGAUAGAGCUGUCUAAUUAUUUGUAUAUAUUUGGUAAAAAAAAAUAAUUUUUGUGGCUUGUUUUAAAUCUCCUCCAUAUUGAUUGCAGCAAACAUUUUCAUUUAGUGCCAUAGCAGCCGAUGGAUUUGUAUGUGUCUCUAGGUUGUGGAAAGGCAAAUUUGUGUUGUUUUUUUACAGGAGUAUUACAUUUUAAGAAAAGGGGGAUCCACAGGGCUGUCUUAACUGAAUGAUGUGACAUGCCUUGUACAUAGGUGACUAUACAGGCUGCUAGUAUUGUAAAGUCA